This 1372-nucleotide ribosomal RNA is filed under the name uncultured bacterium. RNAcentral describes it as "bacterial SSU rRNA". It matches the Rfam family "Bacterial small subunit ribosomal RNA", at positions 28 to 1381 of the family's 1533-position model. The record is from RNAcentral.
GAUGAACGCUGGCGGCGUGCCUAAUACAUGCAAGUCGAGCGAACGGACGAGAAGCUUGCUUCUCUGAUGUUAGCGGCGGACGGGUGAGUAACACGUGGAUAACCUACCUAUAAGACUGGGAUAACUUCGGGAAACCGGAGCUAAUACCGGAUAAUAUUUUGAACCGCAUGGUUCAAAAGUGAAAGACGGUCUUGCUGUCACUUAUAGAUGGAUCCGCGCUGCAUUAGCUAGUUGGUAAGGUAACGGCUUACCAAGGCAACGAUGCAUAGCCGACCUGAGAGGGUGAUCGGCCACACUGGAACUGAGACACGGUCCAGACUCCUACGGGAGGCAGCAGUAGGGAAUCUUCCGCAAUGGGCGAAAGCCUGACGGAGCAACGCCGCGUGAGUGAUGAAGGUCUUCGGAUCGUAAAACUCUGUUAUUAGGGAAGAACAUAUGUGUAAGUAACUGUGCACAUCUUGACGGUACCUAAUCAGAAAGCCACGGCUAACUACGUGCCAGCAGCCGCGGUAAUACGUAGGUGGCAAGCGUUAUCCGGAAUUAUUGGGCGUAAAGCGCGCGUAGGCGGUUUUUUAAGUCUGAUGUGAAAGCCCACGGCUCAACCGUGGAGGGUCAUUGGAAACUGGAAAACUUGAGUGCAGAAGAGGAAAGUGGAAUUCCAUGUGUAGCGGUGAAAUGCGCAGAGAUAUGGAGGAACACCAGUGGCGAAGGCGACUUUCUGGUCUGUAACUGACGCUGAUGUGCGAAAGCGUGGGGAUCAAACAGGAUUAGAUACCCUGGUAGUCCACGCCGUAAACGAUGAGUGCUAAGUGUUAGGGGGUUUCCGCCCCUUAGUGCUGCAGCUAACGCAUUAAGCACUCCGCCUGGGGAGUACGACCGCAAGGUUGAAACUCAAAGGAAUUGACGGGGACCCGCACAAGCGGUGGAGCAUGUGGUUUAAUUCGAAGCAACGCGAAGAACCUUACCAAAUCUUGACAUCCUUUGACAACUCUAGAGAUAGAGCCUUCCCCUUCGGGGGACAAAGUGACAGGUGGUGCAUGGUUGUCGUCAGCUCGUGUCGUGAGAUGUUGGGUUAAGUCCCGCAACGAGCGCAACCCUUAAGCUUAGUUGCCAUCAUUAAGUUGGGCACUCUAAGUUGACUGCCGGUGACAAACCUGAGGAAGGUGGGGAUGACGUCAAAUCAUCAUGCCCCUUAUGAUUUGGGCUACACACGUGCUACAAUGGACAAUACAAAGGGCAGCGAAACCGCGAGGUCAAGCAAAUCCCAUAAAGUUGUUCUCAGUUCGGAUUGUAGUCUGCAACUCGACUACAUGAAGCUGGAAUCGCUAGUAAUCGUAGAUCAGCAUGCUACGGUGAAUACGUUCCCGGGUCU